GCAAGUCGAACGCAGUAGCAAUACUGAGUGGCAGACGGGUGAGUAACAUGUGGGAAUCUGCCUUGUGGUUCAGGACAACAUUGGGAAACCGAUGCUAAUACUGGAUAAGCCCUUACGGGGAAAGUUUUAAUGCCAUAAGAUGAGCCCGCAUUUGAUUAGUUAGUUGGUGAGGUAAUGGCUCACCAAGACAAUGAUCAAUAGCUGAUCUGAGAGGAUGAUCAGCCACACUGGGACUGAGACACGGCCCAGACUCCUACGGGAGGCAGCAGUGGGGAAUCUUGCACAAUGGAGGAAACUCUGAUGCAGCGAUGCCGCGUGAGUGAAGAAGGCCUUUGGGUUGUAAAGCUCUUUUGUAGGGGAAGAUAAUGACUGUACCCUAAGAAUAAGGUCCGGCUAACUUCGUGCCAGCAGCCGCGGUAAUACGAAGGGACCUAGCGUAGUUCGGAAUUACUGGGCGUAAAGCGCGCGUAGGCCGUUGAGUUAGUUAAUUGUGAAAUCCCAAAGCUUAACUUUGGAACUGCAAUUAAAACUGCUCGACUAGAGUUUGAUAGAGGAAAGCGGAAUACAUAGUGUAGAGGUGAAAUUCGUAGAUAUUAUGUAGAACACCAGUUGCGAAGGCGGCUUUCUGGAUCAACACUGACGCUGAGGCGCGAAAGUAUGGGUAGCAAAGAGGAUUAGAUACCCUCGUAGUCCAUACCAUAAACGAUGAUUGCUAGAUGUUGGAAAUUUAUUUUCAGUAUCGCAGCUAACGCAUUAAGCAAUCCGCCUGGGGAGUACGACCGCAAGGUUAAAACUCAAAUGAAUUGACGGGGACCCGCACAAGCGGUGGAGCAUGUGGUUUAAUUCGAAGAUACGCGCAGAACCUUACCAACCCUUGACAUGUCUGUCGCGAGUUUAGGAAACUAGACUUUUCGGUUCGGCCGGACAGAACACAGGUGCUGCAUGGCUGUCGUCAGCUCGUGUCGUGAGAUGUUGGGUUAAGUCCCCGCACGAGCGCAACCCCUACUUU
Molecule: ribosomal RNA, 1009 nt
Filed under: uncultured Pseudomonadota bacterium
Lineage: Bacteria; Pseudomonadati; Pseudomonadota
Description: bacterial SSU rRNA
Rfam family: Bacterial small subunit ribosomal RNA
Source: RNAcentral